ACAGCAGCAGAGGCAGAGGUGGAUAAUUUCCAUGAUGACAGCUGGCAGUAGUCUGAUGAAUUUCUCCGGAGGCGCAGAAGAAGAGAAACCCUGAUCACCACCACAAACCUCAACACAGAGACCAGACCAGACCACCGUCUCUCUUCAUCUUCCAUCCUGUUAUUAGUGGUGUUUGCUAAGUCAGCCAUCGAUUUUACUAAGUUCUCAUAUUUUAGUGUUAGCCACAUGCUGAAACCUCUAGCACUAAGUAUUACAUCCCACAGACACUCAGAACACCUUAGCAACUGCAUAGCAACACCACAACAACCACCGCAGCAUCGAGGCAGUUUGUUUACAUGCACUAAUUUUCUUCAAUCUGAAUGAAUCCAAUCCGAUUUCAGAUCCUGAAAGUUGUUUAUAUGAACGGUAAAUUUCACAUAUUCAUUUACAUGUAUAUUUGCGUAUUCCGAACAAAAGACACUUCUUUGAUAACUGGAAAAGGCCACUGCGAUAAUGUCAACAGAGCUAACGCGAGUCGUUUUGGAUUAGAUGACACCUAAAAGAAAAACUUUUUUAGCAAAUAUUUAGUAAAUAUUCCUUCUCCUCCACUGACCAGCUAACAAAAAUAUGUUCUAAGAAAGUUAUAAUAACGUUAUGAAUUUCUGAAUGUUUUGAAACAAGUAGAAACUUUCAAAAAAAAAAAUGUUAGAUGUACAUCCAACUAAAAUGUUUUCCUAAUGUGUCCAUGAUGUUAUAAAAUGUUCUCUGAACGUUCUAAACAUCCAGUUUGUUAAUGUUUAGAAACGUUGUGUUUUUGGGGGGGUUCUAUUUGAUCAUUUU
Molecule: long non-coding RNA, 819 nt
Organism: Sinocyclocheilus anshuiensis
Lineage: Eukaryota; Metazoa; Chordata; Actinopteri; Cypriniformes; Cyprinidae
Exons: 3
Source: RefSeq, a predicted model, not a curated record